This 751-nucleotide ribosomal RNA is filed under the name uncultured Bacillus sp. RNAcentral's name for it is "bacterial SSU rRNA". It matches the Rfam family "Bacterial small subunit ribosomal RNA", at positions 35 to 764 of the family's 1533-position model. The record is from RNAcentral. Lineage: Bacteria; Bacillati; Bacillota; Bacilli; Caryophanales; Bacillaceae.
GCUGGCGGCGUGCCUAAUACAUGCAAGUCGAGCGAAUAGAUUAAGAGCUUGCUCUUAUGAAGUUAGCGGCGGACGGGUGAGUAACACGUGGGUAACCUGCCCAUAAGACUGGGAUAACUCCGGGAAACCGGGGCUAAUACCGGAUAACAUUUUGAACUGCAUGGUUCGAAAUUGAAAGGCGGCUUCGGCUGUCACUUAUGGAUGGACCCGCGUCGCAUUAGCUAGUUGGUGAGGUAACGGCUCACCAAGGCAACGAUGCGUAGCCGACCUGAGAGGGUGAUCGGCCACACUGGGACUGAGACACGGCCCAGACUCCUACGGGAGGCAGCAGUAGGGAAUCUUCCGCAAUGGACGAAAGUCUGACGGAGCAACGCCGCGUGAGUGAUGAAGGCUUUCGGGUCGUAAAACUCUGUUGUUAGGGAAGAACAAGUGCUAGUUGAAUAAGCUGGCACCUUGACGGUACCUAACCAGAAAGCCACGGCUAACUACGUGCCAGCAGCCGCGGUAAUACGUAGGUGGCAAGCGUUAUCCGGAAUUAUUGGGCGUAAAGCGCGCGCAGGUGGUUUCUUAAGUCUGAUGUGAAAGCCCACGGCUCAACCGUGGAGGGUCAUUGGAAACUGGGAGACUUGAGUGCAGAAGAGGAAAGUGGAAUUCCAUGUGUAGCGGUGAAAUGCAUAGAGAUAUGGAAGGAACACCAGUGGGCGAAAGCGACUUUCUGGUUCUGUAACUGACACUGAGAGCGAAAGCGUGG